CGGGAGGCACCAGCAGUGAGGAAUAUUGCACAAUGGGGGGAACCCUGAUGCAGCAACGCCGCGUGGAGGAUGACGCAUUUCGGUGUGUAAACUCCUUUUAUAUGUCAAGAAAAUGACGGUAGCAUAUGAAUAAGCACCGGCUAACUCCGUGCCAGCAGCCGCGGUAAUACGGGGGGUGCAAGCGUUACUCGGAAUCACUGGGCGUAAAGGACGCGUAGGCGGGUUGGAAAGUCAGGUGUGAAAUCCUACAGCUUAACUGUAGAACUGCACUUGAAACUUCUAAUCUAGAGUAUGGAGGGGGAGAUGGAAUUAGUGGUGUAGGGGUAAAAUCCGUAGAUAUCACUAGGAAUACCUAAAGCGAAGGCGAUCUCCUGGAACAUUACUGACGCUAAGGCGUGAAAGCGUGGGGAGCAAACAGGAUUAGAUACCCGUGUAGUC
RNAcentral lists this ribosomal RNA (438 nucleotides) under uncultured bacterium. RNAcentral's name for it is "partial 16S ribosomal RNA". It matches the Rfam family "Bacterial small subunit ribosomal RNA", at positions 342 to 795 of the family's 1533-position model. The record is from RNAcentral.